GAUGAACGCUGGCGGCGUGCCUAGUACAUGCAAGUCGAGCGAACAGACGAGGAGCUUGCUCCUCUGACGUUAGCGGCGGACGGGUGAGUAACACGUGGAUAACCUACCUAUAAGACUGGGAUAACUUCGGGAAACCGGAGCUAAUACCGGAUAAUAUAUUGAACCGCAUGGUUCAAUAGUGAAAGACGGUUUUGCUGUCACUUAUAGAUGGAUCCGCGCCGCAUUAGCUAGUUGGUAAGGUAACGGCUUACCAAGGCAACGAUGCGUAGCCGACCUGAGAGGGUGAUCGGCCACACUGGAACUGAGACACGGUCCAGACUCCUACGGGAGGCAGCAGUAGGGAAUCUUCCGCAGUGGGCGAAAGCUUGACGGAGCAACGCCGCGUGAGUGAUGAAGGUCUUCGGAUCGUAAAACUCUGUUAUUAGGGAAGAACAAAUGUGUAAGUAACUAUGCACGUCUUGACGGUACCUAAUCAGAAAGCCACGGCUAACUACGUG
This 497-nucleotide ribosomal RNA is filed under the name uncultured bacterium. RNAcentral describes it as "partial 16S ribosomal RNA". It matches the Rfam family "Bacterial small subunit ribosomal RNA", at positions 28 to 507 of the family's 1533-position model. The record is from RNAcentral.